UACGGGAGGCAGCAGUGAGGAAUAUUGGACAAUGGGUGGAAGCCUGAUCCAGCCAUCCCGCGUGCAGGAAGACGGCCCUAUGGGUUGUAAACUGCUUUUAUCUGGGGAUAAACCUACUUACGUGUAAGUAGCUGAAGGUACCAGAAGAAUAAGCACCGGCUAACUCCGUGCCAGCAGCCGCGGUAAU
Molecule: ribosomal RNA, 187 nt
Filed under: uncultured Elizabethkingia sp.
Lineage: Bacteria; Pseudomonadati; Bacteroidota; Flavobacteriia; Flavobacteriales; Weeksellaceae
Description: partial 16S ribosomal RNA
Rfam family: Bacterial small subunit ribosomal RNA
Source: RNAcentral